This 589-nucleotide ribosomal RNA is filed under the name uncultured bacterium. Its description in RNAcentral is "bacterial SSU rRNA". It matches the Rfam family "Bacterial small subunit ribosomal RNA", at positions 338 to 918 of the family's 1533-position model. The record is from RNAcentral.
CCUACGGGAGGCAGCAGUGGGGAAUAUUGCACAAUGGGCGAAAGCCUGAUACAGCCAUGCCGCGUGUGUGAAGAAGGCCUUCGGGUUGUAAAGCACUUUCAGCGAGGAGGAAAGGUUAGUAGUUAAUAACUGCUAGCUGUGACGUUACUCGCAGAAGAAGCACCGGGCUAAUUUAGUGCCAGCAGCCGCGGUAAUACUAAAGGUGCAAGCGUUAAUCGGAAUUACUGGGCGUAAAGCGCGCGUAGGUGGUUUGUUAAGUUGGAUGUGAAAGCCCAGGGCUCAACCUUGGAACUGCAUUCAAAACUGACUCACUAGAGUACGAGAGAGGUUAGUGGAAUUUCCUGUGUAGCGGUGAAAUGCGUAGAGAUGGGAAGGAACACCAGUGGCGAAGGCGACUGACUGGCUCGAUACUGACACUGAGGUGCGAAAGCGUGGGGAGCAAACGGGAUUAGAUACCCCGGUAGUCCACGCCGUAAACGAUGUCUACUAGCCGUUGGAGGACUUGAUCCUUUAGUGGCGCAGCUAACGCGAUAAGUAGACCGCCUGGGGAGUACGGUCGCAAGAUUAAAACUCAAAGGAAUUGACGGGG